Molecule: ribosomal RNA, 433 nt
Filed under: uncultured bacterium
Lineage: Bacteria
Description: partial 16S ribosomal RNA
Rfam family: Bacterial small subunit ribosomal RNA
Source: RNAcentral
AACGAACGCUGGCGGCAUGCCUAACACAUGCAAGUCGAACGAGACCUUCGGGUCUAGUGGCGCACGGGUGCGUAACGCGUGGGAACCUGCCUUUAGGUUCGGAAUAACUCAGAGAAAUUUGAGCUAAUACCGGAUGAUGUCUUCGGACCAAAGAUUUAUCGCCUUUAGAUGGGCCCGCGUUGGAUUAGCUAGUUGGUGGGGUAAAGGCCUACCAAGGCGACGAUCCAUAGCUGGUCUGAGAGGAUGAUCAGCCACACUGGGACUGAGACACGGCCCAGACUCCUACGGGAGGCAGCAGUGGGGAAUAUUGGACAAUGGGCGAAAGCCUGAUCCAGCAAUGCCGCGUGAGUGAUGAAGGCCUUAGGGUUGUAAAGCUCUUUUACCCGAGAUGAUAAUGACAGUAUCGGGAGAAUAAGCUCCGGCUAACUCUGUG